GAUGAACGCUGGCGGCGUGCCUAAUACAUGCAAGUCGAGCGAACAGACGAGGAGCUUGCUCCUCUGACGUUAGCGGCGGACGGGUGAGUAACACGUGGAUAACCUACCUAUAAGACUGGGAUAACUUCGGGAAACCGGAGCUAAUACCGGAUAAUAUAUUGAACCGCAUGGUUCAAUAGUGAAAGACGGUUUUGCUGUCACUUAUAGAUGGAUCCGCGCCGCAUUAGCUAGUUGGUAAGGUAACGGCUUACCAAGGCAACGAUGCGUAGCCGACCUGAGAGGGUGAUCGGCCACACUGGAACUGAGACACGGUCCAGACUCCUACGGGAGGCAGCAGUAGGGAAUCUUCCGCAAUGGGCGAGAGCUUGACGGAGCAACGCCGCGUGAGUGAUGAAGGUCUUCGGAUCGUAAAACUCUGUUAUUAGGGAAGAACAAAUGUGUAAGUAACUAUGCACGUCUGACG
RNAcentral lists this ribosomal RNA (463 nucleotides) under Staphylococcus epidermidis. RNAcentral's name for it is "bacterial SSU rRNA". It matches the Rfam family "Bacterial small subunit ribosomal RNA", at positions 28 to 474 of the family's 1533-position model. Lineage: Bacteria; Bacillati; Bacillota; Bacilli; Caryophanales; Staphylococcaceae. The record is from RNAcentral.